GACAACUCUCAACAACGGAUAUCUUGGCUCCCGUAACGAUGAAGAACGCAGCGAAAUGCGAUACGUAGUGUGAAUUGCAGAAUUCCGUGAACCAUCGAAUCUUUGAACGCAAAUUGCGCUCGAGGCUUCGGCCAAGAGCAUGUCUGCCUCAGCGUCGGCU
This 160-nucleotide ribosomal RNA is filed under the name Trebouxia arboricola. RNAcentral's name for it is "5.8S ribosomal RNA". It matches the Rfam family "5.8S ribosomal RNA". From Rfam's summary of the family: 5.8S ribosomal RNA (5.8S rRNA) is a component of the large subunit of the eukaryotic ribosome. RNAcentral also lists the same sequence under 1 other name. The record is from RNAcentral. Lineage: Eukaryota; Viridiplantae; Chlorophyta; Trebouxiophyceae; Trebouxiales; Trebouxiaceae.